This 394-nucleotide ribosomal RNA is filed under the name uncultured bacterium. RNAcentral's name for it is "partial 16S ribosomal RNA". It matches the Rfam family "Bacterial small subunit ribosomal RNA", at positions 523 to 918 of the family's 1533-position model. The record is from RNAcentral.
AUACGGAGGGAGCGAGCGUUGUCCGGAAUUACUGGGCGUAAAGGGCGCGUAGGCGGCGCUUCAAGUCGUCUGUCAAAUGGGAGGGCUUAACCCUUUUUCGCAGACGAAACUGGAGAGCUUGAGAAGCAGAGAGGCAAACAGAAUUCCUGGUGUAGCGGUGAGAUGCGUAGAUAUCAGGAAGAAUACCAGUGGCGAAGGCGGUUUGCUGGCUGCAUACUGACGCUGAAGCGCGAAAGCCAGGGGAGCAAACGGGAUUAGAUACCCCGGUAGUCCUGGCAGUAAACGAUGUAUGCUGGGUGUGAGACUAGCGAUAGUUUCGUGCCGAAGUUAACGCGAUAAGCAUACCGCCUGGGGAGUACGGUCACAAGAUUGAAACUCAAAUGAAUUGACGGGG